This 379-nucleotide ribosomal RNA is filed under the name uncultured eukaryote. RNAcentral describes it as "SSU rRNA". It matches the Rfam family "Eukaryotic small subunit ribosomal RNA", at positions 587 to 972 of the family's 1831-position model. The record is from RNAcentral.
AGCUCCAAUAGCGUAUACUAAAGUUGUUGCAGUUAAAACGCUCGUAGUCGGAUUUCGUGGUCGGGCGACAGGUCUCCUUCACAGGUGCACUUGUCGGCUUGCCAUUCUUACCGGAACGGCUGCACUUUUUUAACUAAACGUGCAGUUGGAACGGUUUAUUUACUUUGAAAAAUCAGAGUGUUUCAAGCAGGCAGCUCGCUCUUGCAUGGAUUAGCAUGGGAUAAUGAAAUAGGACUUUGGUGCUAUUUUGUUGGUUUCGAACACCGAAGUAAUGAUUAAAAGGGACAGUCAGGGGCACUCGUAUUCCGCCGAGAGAGGUGAAAUUCUCAGACCAGCGGAAGACGAACCACUGCGAAAGCAUUUGCCAGGGAUGUUUUCA